GUGAAAGCCCCGAGCUUAACUUGGGAAUUGCAUCUGAAACUGGUUGGCUAGAGUCGUGUAGAGGGGGGUAGAAUUCCAUGUGUAGCGGUGAAAUGCGUAGAGAUGUGGAGGAAUACAGGUGGCGAAGGCGGCCCCCUGGACAAAGACUGACGCUCAGGUGCGAAAGCGUGGGGAGCAAACAGGAUUAGAUAACCUGGUAGUCCACUCUGUAAACGAUGUCGAUUUAGAGGUUGUGGUCUUGAACCGUGGCUUCUGGAGCUAA
Molecule: ribosomal RNA, 262 nt
Filed under: Proteus mirabilis
Lineage: Bacteria; Pseudomonadati; Pseudomonadota; Gammaproteobacteria; Enterobacterales; Morganellaceae
Description: partial 16S ribosomal RNA
Rfam family: Bacterial small subunit ribosomal RNA
Source: RNAcentral